UCGAACGGAGCACCCUUGAUUGAGGUUUCGGCCAAAUGAUAGGAAUGCUUAGUGGCGGACUGGUGAGUAACGCGUGAGGAACCUGCCUUUCAGAGGGGGACAACAGUUGGAAACGACUGCUAAUACCGCAUGACGCAUUUUGAUCGCAUGGUCGAAAUGCCAAAGAUUUAUCGCUGAAAGAUGGCCUCGCGUCUGAUUAGAUAGUUGGCGGGGUAACGGCCCACCAAGUCGACGAUCAGUAGCCGGACUGAGAGGUUGACCGGCCACAUUGGGACUGAGAUACGGCCCAGACUCCUACGGGAGGCAGCAGUGGGGAAUAUUGGGCAAUGGGCGCAAGCCUGACCCAGCAACGCCGCGUGAAGGAAGAAGGCUUUCGGGUUGUAAACUUCUUUUAAGUGGGAAGAGUAGAAGACGGUACCACUUGAAUAAGCCACGGCUAACUACGUGCCAGCAGCCGCGGUAAUACGUAGGUGGCAAGCGUUGUCCGGAUUUACUGGGUGUAAAGGGCGUGCAGCCGGGCAUGCAAGUCAGAUGUGAAAUCUCAGGGCUUAACCCUGAAACUGCAUUUGAAACUGUAUGUCUUGAGUGCCGGAGAGGUAAUCGGAAUUCCUUGUGUAGCGGUGAAAUGCGUAGAUAUAAGGAAGAACACCAGUGGCGAAGGCGGAUUACUGGACGGUAACUGACGGUGAGGCGCGAAA
RNAcentral lists this ribosomal RNA (698 nucleotides) under uncultured bacterium. RNAcentral describes it as "bacterial SSU rRNA". It matches the Rfam family "Bacterial small subunit ribosomal RNA", at positions 62 to 758 of the family's 1533-position model. The record is from RNAcentral.